This 255-nucleotide ribosomal RNA is filed under the name uncultured bacterium. Its description in RNAcentral is "partial small subunit ribosomal RNA". It matches the Rfam family "Bacterial small subunit ribosomal RNA", at positions 26 to 285 of the family's 1533-position model. The record is from RNAcentral.
AGGACGAACGCUGGCGGCGUGCUUAACACAUGCAAGUCGAGCGGUAAGGCCCUUUGGGGUACACGAGCGGCGAACGGGUGAGUAACACGUGGGUGACCUGCCCCCUACUCUGGGAUAAGCCUGGGAAACUGGGUCUAAUACCGGAUAUGACUACAUGUCGCAUGGUGUGUGGUGGAAAGUUUUUUCGGUGGGGGAUGGGCCCGCGGCCUAUCAGCUUGUUGGUGGGGUGAUGGCCUACCAAGGCGACGACGGGUA